Long non-coding RNA from Harpia harpyja (harpy eagle), 398 nucleotides. RefSeq lists it as uncharacterized. NCBI's taxonomy places the organism in Eukaryota, Metazoa, Chordata, Aves, Accipitriformes, Accipitridae. The transcript has 2 exons. The record is from RefSeq and is a predicted model, not a curated record.
GCCGCGGGGAGGUGCCGCCAUGCUGAGGCGCCGUGAGGCGGUGCUGGAGAGCAGCAAAGGAGCUGAGGCAUGCACUCUGCUCCAGCCUCUGAUGGUGACAACCUCUGUGUCUUCUUCCUGACCAUCCCCUCCUCAUCUCUGGAUCCACAUCCUUCUCUGCUGGCCCAUCUCAGUCCUCCUCUAUCUCCUCACCCGUUUGUCACCUGCCUCCUUCACACAAUCUGUGAUCCACAGCUCCCUGCAGCCUGAGGCCUUCUGCAGCUCCUGGGCUCUGCGUCACAGAUUAACGCCCACAAUCUCUUUUACCCAUUUUUCUCAAUGACUGCUCAGUCCCCAACCUCCUUGUCCUUCAUUCACUACACCUGUUGCUGAAUCCACAUUUUUAUCUUUUGCCUUUG